Molecule: ribosomal RNA, 460 nt
Filed under: uncultured bacterium
Lineage: Bacteria
Description: partial 16S ribosomal RNA
Rfam family: Bacterial small subunit ribosomal RNA
Source: RNAcentral
CCUACGGGUGGCAGCAGUGAGGAAUAUUGGUCAAUGGGCGCGAGCCUGAACCAGCCAAGUAGCGUGAAGGAUGACUGCCCUACGGGUUGUAAACUUCUUUUAUAAAGGAAUAAAGUGAGGCACGUGUGCCUUUUUGUAUGUACUUUAUGAAUAAGGCUCGGAUAACUCAGUGCCAGCAGCCGCGGUAAUACGGAGGAUCCGAGCGUUAUCCGGAUUUAUUGGGUUUAAAGGGAGCGUAGAUGGGUGGUGAAGUAAGUUGUGAAAGUUUGGGGCUCAACCGUAAAAUUGCAAUGGAUACGGGCAGCCUUGAGUACAGUUGAGGUAGGCGGAAUUCGUGGUGUAGCGGUGAAAUGCUUAGAUAUCACGAAGAACUCCGAUUGCGAAGGCGGCUUACUAAACUGCAACUGACAUUGAUGCUCGAAAGUGUGGGUAUCAAACAGGAUUAGAUACCCCUGUAGUC